GACGAACGCUGGCGGCGUGCUAACACAUGCAAGUCGAACGAUGAAGCUGGAGCUUGCUCCGGUGGAUUAGUGGCGAACGGGUGAGUAACACGUGAGCAAUCUGCCCUUGACUCUGGGAUAACUGCGGGAAACUGUAGCUAAUACCGGAUACGAGGCUCGAAGGCAUCUUCGGGUCUGGAAAGAAUUUCGGUCAAGGAUGAGCUCGCGGCCUAUCAGCUUGUUGGUGAGGUAAUGGCUCACCAAGGCGACGACGGGUAGCCGGCCUGAGAGGGUGACCGGCCACACUGGGACUGAGACAAGGCCCAGACUGCUACGGGAGGCAGCAGUGGGGAAGAUUGCACAAUGGGCGAAAGCCUGAUGCAGCAACGCCGCGUGAGGGAUGAAGGCCUUCGGGUUGUAAACCUCUUUUAGCAGGGAAGAAGCGAAAGUGACGGUACCUGCAGAAAAAGCACCGGCUAACUACGUGCCAGCCGCCGCGGUAA
RNAcentral lists this ribosomal RNA (482 nucleotides) under uncultured bacterium. RNAcentral describes it as "partial 16S ribosomal RNA". It matches the Rfam family "Bacterial small subunit ribosomal RNA", at positions 28 to 523 of the family's 1533-position model. The record is from RNAcentral.